RNAcentral lists this ribosomal RNA (483 nucleotides) under uncultured bacterium. RNAcentral describes it as "partial 16S ribosomal RNA". It matches the Rfam family "Bacterial small subunit ribosomal RNA", at positions 29 to 507 of the family's 1533-position model. The record is from RNAcentral.
AUUGAACGCUGGCGGCAGGCCUAACACAUGCAAGUCGAGCGGAUGAAGGGAGCUUGCUCCUGGAUUCAGCGGCGGACGGGUGAGUAAUGCCUAGGAAUCUGCCUGGUAGUGGGGGAUAACGUCCGGAAACGGGCGCUAAUACCGCAUACGUCCUGAGGGAGAAAGUGGGGGAUCUUCGGACCUCACGCUAUCAGAUGAGCCUAGGUCGGAUUAGCUAGUUGGUGGGGUAAAGGCCUACCAAGGCGACGAUCCGUAACUGGUCUGAGAGGAUGAUCAGUCACUGGGAAAGGAAACAGCGGCCCUGGCACUGAGGGAAGGCAGGGAUGGGAAAAAUUGGCAAAAGGGGGAAAGCCUGCACAAGCGGUGACGGCGGUAUGAAGAGGGGCUGCGAGUGGGAAAACGUUUUAAGUGGGGAAAAAGGGAAUUAGCUUAAGACCUUGGUGUUUGACGUUUCCCACAAAAGAAGCACCCGGUAAAUUCGUG